CGGAAGUAGUGAUAUGGAGCGAAACCCAAAAAGANACCCCCACGUUCGGAUUGCAGGCUGAAAUUCGCCUGCAUGAAGCCGGAAUUGCUAGUAAUGGCAGGUCAGCAUACUGCCGUGAAUACGUUCCCGGGCCUUGUACACACCGCCCGUCACACCAUGAGAGUUGGGGAUACCCGAAGCCUGUGAGCCAACAGUUAAAUGAGGCAGCAGUCGAAGGUAGAAUCAAUGAUUGGGGUGAAGUCGUAACAAGGUACC
This 255-nucleotide ribosomal RNA is filed under the name uncultured bacterium. Its description in RNAcentral is "partial 16S ribosomal RNA". It matches the Rfam family "Bacterial small subunit ribosomal RNA", at positions 1250 to 1500 of the family's 1533-position model. The record is from RNAcentral.